RNAcentral lists this ribosomal RNA (497 nucleotides) under uncultured bacterium. RNAcentral describes it as "partial 16S ribosomal RNA". It matches the Rfam family "Bacterial small subunit ribosomal RNA", at positions 28 to 507 of the family's 1533-position model. The record is from RNAcentral.
GAUGAACGCUGGCGGCGUGCCUAAUACAUGCAAGUCGAGCGAACGGACGAGAAGCUUGCUUCUCUGAUGUUAGCGGCGGACGGGUGAGUAACACGUGGAUAACCUACCUAUAAGACUGGGAUAACUCCGGGAAACCGGAGCUAAUACCGGAUAAUAUUUUGAACCGCAUGGUUCAAAAGUGAAAGACGGUCUUGCUGUCACUUAUAGAUGGAUCCGCGCUGCAUUAGCUAGUUGGUAAGGUAACGGCUUACCAAGGCAACGAUGCAUAGCCGACCUGAGAGGGUGAUCGGCCACACUGGAACUGAGACACGGUCCAGACUCCUACGGGAGGCAGCAGUAGGGAAUCUUCCGCAAUGGGCGAAAGCCUGACGGAGCAACGCCGCGUGAGUGAUGAAGGUCUUCGGAUCGUAAAACUCUGUUAUUAGGGAAGAACAUAUGUGUAAGUAACUGUUCACAUCUUGACGGUACCUAAUCAGAAAGCCACGGCUAACUACGUG